RNAcentral lists this non-coding RNA (25 nucleotides) under Mus musculus (house mouse). The record is from RNAcentral. Lineage: Eukaryota; Metazoa; Chordata; Mammalia; Rodentia; Muridae.
UGAGAUGUACGAUCUGGACGGUGAC